CUGGCAUCAGGGCUCAGUGUGCAUUUGUGGAACUGAAAGCCUUGGUUCCCAGGAGCUCAAGCCCACUGGGACCAACAACAGAACGAAGGGAGUUUGCCUACAAUUUAUGACAAGCAGGCAGCCCAUCUCCAUGGCCUGAGCUGCAUAAUAAGCAGGAAGAUGAAGCAAAAGGGUUGGCCCUCCAGUGUCAGAGAAGAUGAACAAAGCUUAUUAAUGCAUGGUAAUACCAGCGUGAUAUCAGAACAGCUUCCCCCAGCAACAACCCAGUUCUCUCACUGUGAUGAAGUGCUCUGCCUUCUGCCUCAGACUUUAGCCACUUGGGAUCUGCAUUAUUGCCUUGUAAAAUUGAUGGGCAGUGGCACAAUCUCCUAGUUUAAGGAAUUUCUGUUAGCAUUAGCAAAAUGCAAUGGCUUUGCAAUUUCUAAGGGCAUUCCUUGCAAUAGGAAAGUGAAUAAAAAUUGGGCCAGACUGGAACAAUGCCCAUCUCUAAUCCCUGUGGCUCCCCUGCUCAGUCUCCUCCAUGUCAUCAGCAGCAGGUGUGAGCUCAGGUCUCCCAAGGUGGGCAAGUCUUAUUUAUACUUAACCUGAAUGGGGCAAGAGGGGGGAUGUUCAUCUUAGUGGGUCUUUUUCUUUGAUCCCCUGAGGAGGUUAUUCAAGAUCAGAGUCUCUUUUCCUUCCAAACUGCUUGGAGAUGUUUCCCAAUUUUUAAAAUCCAACCUGCUCAAUAGUCUUGUGUCUUAAAAACUAUGCUUCUUUAGAAAGGUGACAGGCAGUGGCAGCUGGAUCUUUCUGGUAGCCAAGUGCUCUGGGGAGAGGAGGGUUGAGAAUGAAUCUGAGCUUUUCCUUCUAAGUCUUUGGAUUUUGAGUAGCCCAAGAUGGCUCUCUUCACCACCAUGUUCUGAAGCAGGGGUGACUAUUUCUCUUCCUGAGGUUGGGGAGCUGAGUAUCACAGUUAGGCAACGGUGGGCCAUGCGCUGGUGAAAUGGAUCAAACAUACAGGCCACGAGGGAAAGCAGGAACAGGCCACAGACAGUCAGACCCAAGGCACAUGCUAUUUUCUGCCUUACUGAAAAGAUGAAACAUAGCUGUAUCCUGGCCGCUUCAACUGGCGGGAAAUGAAAAGUACAGAAAACCCAUCUACAAGAAGUAAAAUCAACAAGCACAAAGGGAGACAGAGGAAAGCUCUGGAGAAGCACUUAUAAAAAUGCACCUUAAAUUGGAUACUUGAUUCAUCCUUUCUCAAAGUUUAAAGUGAUUUCCUCUCCUGCUGUCCUGUCUUCUAAAGCAGUCUGAAAUGAAAUCUGCCCCCAGAGCUGUGCACAGAGGAAAUGGAGAACAGAUCAUUCAAGAAGGAACACCCCACCCGCAAGCCGUGCUAGACUCGCAUGGAGCCCUCCUUGAUGUGAGCACAAGGGACCUCCAUGCUCCUACUUCUGCUGGUCUCCAUUUCACCAGGCGCCUCCCUCCGACUUCCAAUUGGCCACAAGCUUCGUCGCUCUCUCUCAAAGCAAUUUUGUGUGUGAGUAUAGUCAGAAGGCUCCAAAGGCAACAUCUGGGUCUGGUCACUGAAGACAGAUGGGCUCCUUCUACUUCUUCUCCCAUCCCCUGGAGGCCUCUGCCAGAGGCUCUGCGGUUUCUGCGGGGCCUGGAGAUCCACAUGUAAAAUCCCUGCUGUAACACAGUGCUUUGUGCUCCGGUGGAAAAACAGCGCUGCUGAAAGCCUCUACCCAUGUAUAAUUUAGCAACAUCACCUGGGGCCGCAGGCACAGUUUGGAGGACAAUGUCAUGGGUGCCUCGGGAUCCACACCUAACUGGGGCAUCUCAUGACAAUCGAGGGAAAGGAUAAUGUCUGCUUUGCUCCCUGAAUUGAUAUCUCUCUGCACUGGUGUCACAAUUACAACUGAAAGGGUGUGGCAGAUGCAUGCAACUCUCAGGGAACAGCCUGCAGCAGAACAUCUUGGCAGGGGGAGGACAAGAGCUGGCCAGACACUUCUGGAAGUUCUGGAAGGAGAUGCUGAAGCUCUACCCAUUCCACUGUAAAGGACAACACCAGGAAAUCCCAGUUAAUAUGGUUUAACCUCCUAAUCAUGCACCGACUAUCCCCCACCAUUGCAUGGGAGGCAGAGAAGAAUAAAACACUGUGCACAUGUGUCCAAAUAGAAUCAAGGGCACUUUUUAAUUGCUUUUUUUUUUUAAACUCAAUGUGUAGAGUAAGUUUUUCACUGGCCUGAUCAAAAGAAAACCAGGGACAGAAAACUAACUGGCUGUGCAAUGCAGACCCCUGCCUGAAGAAGGGACUUCAGGUGGGAAACUUUGCAGAAAGCCCUGUGCAAAGCUGGCUACAACUGCACCCCUCAGAGUAUGAGGAAAAAGGAAAAAAAACCACAACAAGUUCAAGUGAAGAGGAAAGGCCCCUUGAAGGCCUACCAGCCAGCUCCCAAGUGCUCUUCCUUAUAUGUCAAUAUCUUGGUGCUGUUGCAGGACAUUGGAGCAGGCUCAGUGUAACCUCACCCCUGCUGGCAAGAGGCUCCCUGGCCCCACCUCCAGACCCGCCCCAGGCAGGAAGAAGAGCACCCAGGUCUUGGGGCAUGCUGAUGGAAAGGCAGCAUUCCUAGAAUAGGAAAGCAACUGACUGAGAAGCCUCUGUCCCCUUGAAUUAGAGUUUAUUGGUAGGAAAUAAGAGGCUGAAGCCAACUGCGGGCUUCACAGUGAUCCUCACGCCCAGAUGGGCUGACCUAGGAGCAGUAUAGGCUCUACACACCAUUCUGCUGUCAAGUGGUCAAAAUGAACGCAUCAGAAGGUCAAAUUCUGGCUCGGCCUCCAAGUGCAGAGACAGCAUUAACUUCGAGAGUAUUGCUGGCAACCAUUAUAACCCUCUAAUUGCCUAUGCAAUGCACAAGAUUUUAAAAUAUAUGUAUUGCACAAACAAUAUUGUGAAACAACAGAAAUCAACUCUCUCAUCUUAAAAAAACCUUAAUACGAGGUUCCAGGAGGGGAUUUAAAAAAUGAUAUGGCUGUUCUUUGCUUCAGGCAAUAAACAUGCUACUGAAAACCUAUGUGUAAAUACAGUCUUAUGCCAACUAAGUCCUUCUUAAAAAUGCACCAGAAAACAGGCUCUGUUUUAAGCACUUAAUUGUAUUUGCUCAUUAAGUCUUCAGAAGCUCUGGAAGUAGAUUUUAUUAAGAUCUUCAUUUUGCAGGUAGGAAAUUGCAACACAGAAAUGUUCAGUAACUUGGACAAGGUUGCAGAGCUGAGUUGGAACAGGGUGCCCAGGCCUCUGAGCCCACAUCCCUAACCAUGGGCUACACUGCCUCCCAAUGGACUGAGAGUGAGUUAGUUCCCUGGCAAAACCUGCCCCUCCCAAGCAUGCUGUUUAUAAAGAUGGAUGAUCACACAUGGUCACAUUUAAUAUCAACAACAUCCCAUACUUAAAUCUUUGAAUGAAAAGAUAUGACUAUUUCCUGAUAAAGCAUCACACAGCUAAGACAAAGAGCUGAAUGCAUAAAGAAGUUUCCCCAUAUCCAUUCGCCUUUCUUUUCUUGAAAAGCCUCAAAUAGAUUUGGGCAGCCAUACAGCCAAUUAAAAAAAUACUUUCCUGCAGAGGAUCUACAAAAAAUGUCAGCUAACAUCAUACUUAAAGGUAAAGGCUGAGUGCUUUCCCCUUAAGUUCAAGUAGAAGAUGAGGAUUCUGUUAUCAGCACUUCCUUUCAACACCAAAAUGGAGAUUCUAGCCAGGGCAAUAAGGCAAGAAAAGGAAAUUAAAGGAGAUUAAAAAGGAAUAAGUAGGCCAGGCACAGUGGCUUAAACCUGCAAACCCAGCACUUUGGGAGGCCGAGGAGCUCAGAGGGCUGAGGUGGGAGGAUUGCUUGAGCCUGGGUAUACUGAGCCAAGAUCAUGCCAUUGCACUCUAGCCUGGGUGACACAGUGAGACCCUGUCUCAAAAAAACUCCAAAACAAACAAAAAGGAGUAAGUAAGACUGACUCCACUCAAAAAGACAUGAUUGUCUAUGUAGAAAAAUCUUAAGAAAUAUUUAUUUAUUUAUUUAUUUUUGAGACAGGGUCUCACUCCUGUCACCCAGGCUUGACUGCAGUGGCAUGAUCAUGGCUCACUGCAGCCUUGACCUCCUGGGUUCUUGCAAUCCUCCCAACCUCAGCCUUCUGGGUAGCCGGGACUACAGGUGCACAACACCAUGCAUGGCUAACUCUUCUGAAUUUUCAGUAGAGAUAGGGUCUUGCUGUGUUGCUGGAUCUGGUCUCAAACUCCUGGGCUCGAGUGAUCUGCCAGCAUUGGCCUCCCAAAGUUGCUGGAAUUACAGGUGUGAGCCACUGUGCCCAGCCUAAGAAAUAUAUAAUAAAGCUGUUAGAGAAAUAGGAGCACAGGAGAACCAAGGUGACAUCAUUUUAAAAUCAACUCCAUCUUAAAACUAGCAAGGCACAUUCCUUGCCAGUCAUGAACCAUGGUCAUAAGAUGUUUACAGUUGAGAAAACAGCUUAAAUGUACCUGAAAGAACACAAUCUUACAACAAAGGAAAGUCCAGAUGUCCCAAUAACCAUAACGAUAUAUGAUUUUAAGAUAAUUAUAUUUAUGCUUUGAGGUACUUAUUCAAUAAAAAAAACAAGGGGCCAAGUGCGG
RNAcentral lists this long non-coding RNA (4633 nucleotides) under Homo sapiens (human). Its description in RNAcentral is "HSALNT0037713". Lineage: Eukaryota; Metazoa; Chordata; Mammalia; Primates; Hominidae. The record is from RNAcentral.